Molecule: ribosomal RNA, 273 nt
Filed under: uncultured Leuconostoc sp.
Lineage: Bacteria; Bacillati; Bacillota; Bacilli; Lactobacillales; Lactobacillaceae
Description: partial 16S ribosomal RNA
Rfam family: Bacterial small subunit ribosomal RNA
Source: RNAcentral
UACGUAUGUCACGAGCGUUAUCCGGAUUUAUUGGGCGUAAAGCGAGCGCAGACGGUUGAUUAAGUCUGAUGUGAAAGCCCGGCGCUCAACUCCGGAAUGGCAUUGGAAACUGGUUAACUUGAGUGCAGUAGAGGUAAGUGGAACUCCAUGUGUAGCGGUGGAAUGCGUAGAUAUAUGGAAGAACACCAGUGGCGAAGGCGGCUUACUGGACUGUAACUGACGUUGAGGCUCGAAAGUGUGGGUAGCAAACAGGAUUAGAUACCCCAGUAGUCC